This 497-nucleotide ribosomal RNA is filed under the name uncultured bacterium. RNAcentral's name for it is "partial 16S ribosomal RNA". It matches the Rfam family "Bacterial small subunit ribosomal RNA", at positions 28 to 507 of the family's 1533-position model. The record is from RNAcentral.
GAUGAACGCUGGCGGCGUGCCUAAUACAUGCAAGUCGAGCGAACGGACGAGAAGCUUGCUUCUCUGAUGUUAGCGGCGGACGGGUGAGUAACACGUGGAUAACCUACCUAUAAGACUGGGAUAACUUCGGGAAACCGGAGCUAAUACCGGAUAAUAUUUUGAACCGCAUGGUUCAAAAGUGAAAGACGGUCUUGCUGUCACUUAUAGAUGGAUCCGCGCUGCAUUAGCUAGUUGGUAAGGUAACGGCUUACCAAGGCAACGAUGCAUAGCCGACCUGAGAGGGUGAUCCGCCACACUGGAACUGAGACACGGUCCAGACUCCUACGGGAGGCAGCAGUAGGGAAUCUUCCGCAAUGGGCGCAAGCCUGACGGAGCAACGCCGCGUGAGUGAUGAAGGUCUUCGGAUCGUAAAACUCUGUUAUUAGGGAAGAACAUAUGUGUAAGUAACUGUGCACAUCUUGACGGUACCUAAUCAGAAAGCCACGGCUAACUACGUG